GACAUUAUUGUUAUUAAAUGUAUAUAGUCUAACUAAAGCAGGACCAUAAACAGAAACACAAUCCGGUUGUUGCUUCUUCCGCUUCUUCUUCUUCUACCAAAACAAAUGGCUCGGUAGCUGCUGCUGCUGCUGCUGCUCUGAUGACGUCAG
Molecule: long non-coding RNA, 150 nt
Organism: Sebastes umbrosus (honeycomb rockfish)
Lineage: Eukaryota; Metazoa; Chordata; Actinopteri; Perciformes; Sebastidae
Exons: 4
Source: RefSeq, a predicted model, not a curated record